ACGAACGCUGGCGGCGUGCCUAAUACAUGCAAGUCGAGCGGACCGACGGGAGCUUGCUCCCUUAGGUCAGCGGCGGACGGGUGAGUAACACGUGGGUAACCUGCCUGUAAGACUGGGAUAACUCCGGGAAACCGGGGCUAAUACCGGAUGCUUGAUUGAACCGCAUGGUUCAAUCAUAAAAGGUGGCUUUCAGCUACCACUUACAGAUGGACCCGCGGCGCAUUAGCUAGUUGGUGAGGUAACGGCUCACCAAGGCGACGAUGCGUAGCCGACCUGAGAGGGUGAUCGGCCACACUGGGACUGAGACACGGCCCAGACUCCUACGGGAGGCAGCAGUAGGGAAUCUUCCGCAAUGGACGAAAGUCUGACGGAGCAACGCCGCGUGAGUGAUGAAGGUUUUCGGAUCGUAAAACUCUGUUGUUAGGGAAGAACAAGUACCGUUCGAAUAGGGCGGCACCUUGACGGUACCUAACCAGAAAGCCACGGCUAACUACGUGCCAGCAGCCGCGGUAAUACGUAGGUGGCAAGCGUUGUCCGGAAUUAUUGGGCGUAAAGCGCGCGCAGGCGGUUUCUUAAGUCUGAUGUGAAAGCCCCCGGCUCAACCGGGGAGGGUCAUUGGAAACUGGGGAACUUGAGUGCAGAAGAGGAGAGUGGAAUUCCACGUGUAGCGGUGAAAUGCGUAGAGAUGUGGAGGAACACCAGUGGCGAAGGCGACUCUCUGGU
This 723-nucleotide ribosomal RNA is filed under the name uncultured Bacilli bacterium. RNAcentral describes it as "bacterial SSU rRNA". It matches the Rfam family "Bacterial small subunit ribosomal RNA", at positions 29 to 733 of the family's 1533-position model. The record is from RNAcentral. Lineage: Bacteria; Bacillati; Bacillota; Bacilli.